RNAcentral lists this ribosomal RNA (458 nucleotides) under uncultured bacterium. Its description in RNAcentral is "partial 16S ribosomal RNA". It matches the Rfam family "Bacterial small subunit ribosomal RNA", at positions 338 to 795 of the family's 1533-position model. The record is from RNAcentral.
CCUACGGGAGGCAGCAGUGAGGAAUAUUGGUCAAUGGGCGAGAGCCUGAACCAGCCAAGUCGCGUGAGGGAGUACUGCCCUAUGGGUUGUAAACCUCUUUUGUAGGGGAGCAAAAGCCGGACGUGUCCGGCUGUGAGAGUACCCGAAGAAAAAGCAUCGGCUAACUCCGUGCCAGCAGCCGCGGUAAUACGGGGGAUGCGAGCGUUAUCCGGAUCUAUUGGGUUUAAGGGGUGCUCAGGCGGAUUGUUAAGUCAGCGGUAAAAUCGUGGGGCUCAACCCCAUCCAGCCGUUGAAACUGGGGAUCUAGAGUGUGCGAGAGGUAGGCGGAAUUCGUGGUGUAGCGGUGAAAUGCAUAGAUAUCACGCAGAACCCCGAUUGCGAAGGCAGCAUACCGGUGCACAACUGACGCUCAUGCACGAAAGCGUGGGUAUCGAACAGGAUUAGAUACCCUUGUAGUC